RNAcentral lists this ribosomal RNA (124 nucleotides) under Pteropus alecto (black flying fox). Lineage: Eukaryota; Metazoa; Chordata; Mammalia; Chiroptera; Pteropodidae. The record is from RNAcentral.
GUCUAUGGCCAUGCUCCCCUGAACAAGCCUGAUCCCGUCUGAUCUGAUCUCGGAAGCUAAGCAGGGUCGGGCCUGGUUUGUACUUGAAUGGGAGACCACCUAGGAAGACCAGGUGCUGUACAUG